This is a long non-coding RNA of Centruroides sculpturatus (bark scorpion), 2644 nucleotides long. RefSeq lists it as uncharacterized. The record is from RefSeq and is a predicted model, not a curated record. The transcript is spliced from 2 exons. Lineage: Eukaryota; Metazoa; Arthropoda; Arachnida; Scorpiones; Buthidae.
AUGAAGAGAUGACGUCAAAUUUACGUAAAUCCUAAUCGAACUUUCAUAUCUUAUAUUUUUUAGUGCUGCCAUCUAGCGAUUAAGUUAUGUAAAUCAACGAUUCUCAAUUAGUUUACCAACGUGUAGUGAAUUGGAACUUCUAUAAUUAAAUAAAUGUGAAAUUCGGAAUUUUUAUUUUUUAUUUUUAAGGGACAUUUCGUCUAAUUUUCACAAGAUUUCAACUUAAUUUCUUAAAGCGAUCAUUAAAAUAACAUCGCCGGAAAAAAAAAGAUUAAAUGUCGUCCCUCUCGUCAACAACCGCUAAAAGUUUAUAAACACUCCUUCGAGAACAUCAACAUUCGCCCAUACAAACACUGUCGAUGUAACGUUGCAGGUAUCAAAGAGUACAGUUGACGUCCGAUUUCACCAUCUUCUCAUUGUCCCAGGAACACCUCUGACCCAACACCUGCGGAAUCAACCUUCGUCUUCGACAACACUCAAUCACAUGACCAUUUUCCCAGGCCGUUCCGAAUAUAAGACCGAUACACCCCCCCCCCCUCCGGGCAGUCUCUUCGAGAUCUUAACUGGUGCACAUAUAGAGUCGCGACAGGAUAUUAGAGUGGAAAAGUCGGAUUAAUCGAAAUCCCCCAGAAAUGUAUCGGAAAGAGAUAUCAUCAUCCCCAUCGUGGGCCAACCAACAUGGAUUCCGCUUUGGAUUUUCUACUAAACUGUCCUAUUUGCUAUAACCGGAUAAAGCCACCAGUCUAUCAGUGUACCAAUGGCCACAUAGUCUGCUCUGAAUGUCGACUGCGCAUAACCCAGUGUCACACCUGUAGAGAACCUCUGGGCCAUAUCCGAAGCCUGAUUGUAGAACAAAUCUUUAGUACUAUGCAAUCUCCCCUGCGUAUUCCAAGCCUUCGGGUGCACAGAGACUCUCCCCGAGAGGGACCACCUACUUCACGAAGAAGCCUGUCCCUUUAAAUUAAACCCCUCCCAUGUCCCUUCCACUCCUCAAACUGUACCUGGAAGGGCGCCCGGAUGCAACUUCAAACCCAUCUAACCAUAGGGCACCAACCUGAGGGUACCUGGGCCGCCACUGUAGAGUACCAUCUUCAAAAAUUCCUUCUUUUAGUCACUAAACACAAUCCCGAAAAUGCUUCCUUUCUUAUAAAAAUCCUUUUCCUGGAAAAACCGCCAACAGAUAGUAAGUUCAGAUACAAAAGAGGAGACCACGCAUUUCGAUGGACUUCUAUCGUCCAUGAAACAUACGAGGAUAAUUCCACCCUUUCACCGUAUCCAGCUCCAUCCUUUGAAGUCCCUCUUAAUCUUAUACACUUUUUCAGCACCCAUCACAAUUUCAAAUUCAUUCUUACCAUUUCCCCUCUAGAUGGCUGAACCUAAUGAAUUAGGUUCAGCCAUCCACUUCCAGCACCGACUACAAGCAACGAGAUUGAUGCGAAAACACUACGAGCCGCCAUCCAUUUUGCUCGAUCCCAACGGCAAAGAUCUCCAACGCUCCCUGUCACACUCAUUCUACCCAUCAAUUAUAGUUGUCCGCCACAACUGGAACAAGCCUAUCAAGAAGUUAACCGCCACCAUCAAACACCAGAAUCUUCCGAAAUCACCCCAGAUGCUUCCUGAACCCCCCUCUUCCUCUCGCUCCCACAAGCCUCGACCAACGCCUCGCCCUCACUACCACUCCCACCGUCGACCUUAAGGCUAUGUACACAUUAGGCGUUUUGCGUUGCGUUAAACGCGCGUUUAGCUCGGUGUUCGACGACCGUUCCCACUGGCUCAGUUUGGAAAUGGACGUGAAAGUAAUUGCUUGUGUGUGCCUCCUCCAUCGUCGCUAUAAAAGAUGAUGGCAAAGAGAAUUUUGGGUGCACCCAAUAUUACGAGAUAGACUGAUGCAUGGAAUGUUUGUGACAUUGUAUCCAAAUUAAGACAAUAUGAACCCAAGUUUUUUAAUUCUUUUAGAAUAUCUAUAUAAUUAUUUGACAACGGCUGGUCUCUUUUAGAUUUCAUCAAUAAAUAGAUCAGUAUUGAAAUGAUCAUUCCCGAAAAGUUAGUCGUCGCCAGUCACUCUUGGAUUAGUCAUCAAAAAUAUCCUGUGUCAGUGUCAAUCGUACUUUGUCGGAUUUUCACAUUACUUUCCACUGUGCCUAGAACUUUCUUGAUGCAGACCAGUCCCAACGAUCCAAAUCCUCACCCUCAAGAUCCUAAUCUCAACCUCAAUUCAAGAAUCAUCAUCAUCAACGCAGGUAUUUCCCGACUAGUGAACAAUUGUAAACUCUCUCUCUCUCGAUUGCUAGCUAGAUAGGUUAAGUCGAUAUAUUGUAUCAUGUAUUUCUUCUUCGUUGAAAAAAAACGGUUAUUUAGUUGUUUUCUUUUGUAUCUGAGUAUUUUCCUUCUGGUACGCUGCCUCUCAACCCAAAUUUAGAUCCUGGAUCCGAUCGCCCGCACACGCGGCCACUUGCGUGACUAAAUCAACACGCCAGCUGGGCUUUCAAUCGGGACAUGGUGGUAUCAGUCCUGACAGGGCAUCGGAGGUGAUGACCCUCUGGUCACACUAGGAAUACUGAGUGCCACCAUAAUGGUCUAUAUCUUUGUAUUGCCACUGAAGGCUAUUGACGUUUUCUAACAAAAUAAAGCUCACUGUUUUGUA